GACGAACGCUGGCGGCGUGCUUAACACAUGCAAGUCGAACGGAAAGGCCCUGCUUUUGUGGGGUGCUCGAGUGGCGAACGGGUGAGUAACACGUGAGUAACCUGCCCUUGACUUUGGGAUAACUUCAGGAAACUGGGGCUAAUACCGGAUAGGAGCUCCUGCUGCAUGGUGGGGGUGGGAAAGUUUCGGCGGCUGGGGUUGGACUCGCGGCUUAUCAGCUUGUUGGUGGGGUAGUGGAUUACCAAGGCUUUGACGGGUCGCCGGCCUGAGAGGGUGACCGGCCACAUUGGGACUGAGAUGCGGCCCAGACUCCUACGGGAGGCAGCAGUGGGGAAUAUUGCACUAUGGGCGGAAGCCUGAUGCAGCAACGCCGCGUGCGGGAUGACGGCCUUCGGGCUGUAAACCGCUUUCGCCUGUGACGAAGCGUGAGUGACGGUAAUGGGUAAAGAAGCACCGGCUAACUACGUG
This 468-nucleotide ribosomal RNA is filed under the name uncultured bacterium. RNAcentral's name for it is "partial 16S ribosomal RNA". It matches the Rfam family "Bacterial small subunit ribosomal RNA", at positions 28 to 507 of the family's 1533-position model. The record is from RNAcentral.